GUGAAUCAUCAAAUUUUUGAACGCAAAUUGCACUCUCUGGCAUUCCGGAGAGUAUGCCUGUUUGAGGGUCAGUAUAAACAAAAUCGGAGUUAUGCAUUUUGGGUGAAGCACCGUGGUUUGGGUCAUCUUAACUCUUAUUUUUAAGAGACUUAAAAUUAACAUUCUUUUUUGCUAACUUUUGAUGGGUACAUAAUUUUUUUUUAAUCGUCUACCCUUAUUGCAAAAAUAUUAUUAGAUCGUGAAGCA
This 246-nucleotide unclassified non-coding RNA is filed under the name Rhizophagus clarus. RNAcentral describes it as "partial contains 5.8S ribosomal RNA and internal transcribed spacer 2". The stretch from base 1 to 71 matches the Rfam family "5.8S ribosomal RNA", at positions 84 to 154 of the family's 154-position model. Lineage: Eukaryota; Fungi; Glomeromycota; Glomeromycetes; Glomerales; Glomeraceae. The record is from RNAcentral.